RNAcentral lists this transfer RNA (75 nucleotides) under Candidatus Saccharimonadota bacterium. Its description in RNAcentral is "tRNA-Arg". It matches the Rfam family "tRNA". From Rfam's summary of the family: Transfer RNA (tRNA) molecules are approximately 80 nucleotides in length. Their secondary structure includes four short double-helical elements and three loops (D, anti-codon, and T loops). Further hydrogen bonds mediate the characteristic L-shaped molecular structure. tRNAs have two regions of fundamental functional importance: the anti-codon, which is responsible for specific mRNA codon recognition, and the 3' end, to which the tRNAs corresponding amino acid is attached (by aminoacyl-tRNA synthetases). tRNAs cope with the degeneracy of the genetic code in two manners: having more than one tRNA (with a specific anti-codon) for a particular amino acid; and 'wobble' base-pairing, i.e. permitting non-standard base-pairing at the 3rd anti-codon position. The record is from RNAcentral. Lineage: Bacteria; Candidatus Saccharimonadota. RNAcentral also lists the same sequence under 4 other names.
GUCCCCGUAGUUCAAUGGAUAGAAUAACUCCGUCCUAAGGAGCAGAUCUGCGUUCGAGUCGCGGCGGGGAUACCA